UACGAAGGGGGCUAGCGUUGUUCGGAAUCACUGGGCGUAAAGCGCACGUAGGCGGAUCUUUAAGUCAGAGGUGAAAUCCCAAGGCUCAACCUUGGAACUGCCUUUGAUACUGGGGAUCUCGAGUCCGGGAGAGGUGAGUGGAACUGCGAGUGUAGAGGUGAAAUUCGUAGAUAUUCGCAAGAACACCAGUGGCGAAGGCGGCUCACUGGCCCGGUACUGACGCUGAGGUGCGAAAGCGUGGGGAGCAAACAGG
Molecule: ribosomal RNA, 253 nt
Filed under: uncultured bacterium
Lineage: Bacteria
Also listed under: 1 other name
Description: partial 16S ribosomal RNA
Rfam family: Bacterial small subunit ribosomal RNA
Source: RNAcentral